RNAcentral lists this microRNA precursor (167 nucleotides) under Pelobates cultripes (western spadefoot toad). The record is from RNAcentral. Lineage: Eukaryota; Metazoa; Chordata; Amphibia; Anura; Pelobatidae.
GGUCAGCUGACACAUCCCGGCCAAUCUCCAGCAGACCCUCCCUCCCAGACCCUCCCACCUCCUGGAUAGCAUCCAUGUUCAAGGCAGCUUCAACAUGGAUGCUGUCCAGGAGGUGGGAGGGUCUGGGAGGGAGAGUCUGCUGCUGAUUGGCCGGGAUGUGUCAGCUG